UACGAAGGGUGCAAACGUUGCUCGGAAUUAUUGGGCGUAAAGCGCACGUAGGCGGCAUCGCAAGUCGGAUGUGAAAUCUUAUGGCUUAACCAUAAAAGUGCAUCCGAAACUGCAGUGCUUGAGUACUUAAGAGGAUCGCGGAAUUCCCGGUGUAGAGGUGAAAUUCGUAGAUAUCGGGAGGAACACCAGUGGCGAAGGCGGCGAUCUGGGAAGAUACUGACGCUGAGGUGCGAAAGCGUGGGGAGCAAACAGG
Molecule: ribosomal RNA, 253 nt
Filed under: uncultured bacterium
Lineage: Bacteria
Also listed under: 2 other names
Description: partial 16S ribosomal RNA
Rfam family: Bacterial small subunit ribosomal RNA
Source: RNAcentral